This 89-nucleotide transfer RNA is filed under the name Platysiphonia delicata. RNAcentral describes it as "tRNA-Ser". It matches the Rfam family "tRNA". From Rfam's summary of the family: Transfer RNA (tRNA) molecules are approximately 80 nucleotides in length. The record is from RNAcentral. Lineage: Eukaryota; Rhodophyta; Florideophyceae; Ceramiales; Delesseriaceae.
GGAGAGGUGGCUGAGUGGUUGAAAGCGGCAGAUUGCUAAUCUGUUGUAUAAUCUUCUUUGUACCGAGGGUUCGAAUCCCUUCCUCUCCU